UCGCCUCCCCCGUUGCCCUCACCUGCGCUCCUUUGCCCUUUCUUGGAAGAAGAGAGGCCCAGAAGAAAAUGGAGGAAAACAAGGCGGGCGAAGCGAUCGAGUCUUUCGAAGAGUCUUCGCCGAAGCCUGACCCCAAUUCUAGCUCCGGCGACAAGAACAAGGCACCGGAGGUGGAAGUCCACCUCUUCCGCCGGGGACGAGGGCCGAUCGACGUCUUCCGAUCGAAGCUGGGCGGUUGGGAUCAGGAUCGCCUCGAGGUUCAAGACAUCCUCGACAAGUAUGGGUUCAAGUCCCUCUUCGCCUUUAAUCCCGAGUCGGGGAGAGGCGUCCCCAUCCGCUUCAGCUCCCGCAACGGCCGAUCAAUCCUCCCUUACACCGGAGGAUCUGUGGUCGUCAUUGAUGGAGAACCCAAGGAUUCAUUGGUUAAGCCUGUGACGAAGAUCAUGGUCGGAGUAGCAGUGCUAACACUUCUGAUCGCAAUAUUCUUUAAAGAAACACCGGAAUGGUUCAAGUCGUCAAGGUUCUCCGGCAUAACAUUUCCUCCAUGGGUUCUUGCUUGCAUGGUUAUCGUCUUCACUCGCUUGAGGAAGAGAACUAAGGAUGUGCUGAAGAAGUAUGGGCGGUGAAAAGCAAUCACUGGGAAUGGACCAUGGUGAAGAUCCGUAGGCUGCCAACAUCAACUACUUGGCAAAAACAUGGUAAAUUGCAGUGGAGUUGACUAAUCAAUAAGCAACACUGGUCCUUUUUUUUUUUUCUGAAGAAGACAUUGGAGAAUUAUGAUAUUAGCAGCGUUCUACUUCCUACUGUUUUCACCCAAUAACCUGUCUGUAAAAGUUUGGCAGCUCAUUUGGGUUACAAAUGCCAUGAAAUCAACUGUAUUCGUUCAUUACCAGCGUGUUGCUGUCUUGAUCUUAUCGAUCGUGUUUCAGAACUUCAUACUUCAUAUUGGAAUGCGAGUUAUUAAUGAUGUGGCA
This is an RNA transcript of Musa acuminata AAA Group (dessert banana), 974 nucleotides long. RefSeq lists it as uncharacterized. The transcript has 4 exons. NCBI's taxonomy places the organism in Eukaryota, Viridiplantae, Streptophyta, Magnoliopsida, Zingiberales, Musaceae. The record is from RefSeq and is a predicted model, not a curated record.